This 503-nucleotide ribosomal RNA is filed under the name uncultured bacterium. RNAcentral's name for it is "partial 16S ribosomal RNA". It matches the Rfam family "Bacterial small subunit ribosomal RNA", at positions 29 to 523 of the family's 1533-position model. The record is from RNAcentral.
AACGAACGCUGGCGGCGUGUUUAAGACAUGCAAGUCGCACGGGAUAAGACAUGUAGUAAUACUUGUUUUAUUUAGUGGCGCACGGGUGAGUAACACGUGAAUUACAUGCCCUAUAGUGGGGAAUAGCCCAGGGAAACUUGGAUUAAUACCCCAUGGUAUCGAAAGAUUAAAGGUGGCCGCAAGGCUGUCGCUAUAGGAUUGGUUCGCGCCCUAUCAGCUUGUUGGUGAGGUAACGGCUCACCAAGGCAAUGACGGGCACCUGGUCUGAGAGGACGAUCAGGCACACUGGAACUGAGACACGGUCCAGACACCUACGGGUGGCAGCAGUCGAGAAUAAUUCACAAUGGGGGCAACCCUGAUGGUGCAACGCCGCGUGGAGGAUGACGGUCUUCGGAUUGUAAACUCCUGUCAUCUGGGAGAAAGACCUGACGGUAAAUAGCCGGCAGGGUUGAUAGUACCAGAAGAGGAAGGGACGGCUAACUUCGUGCCAGCCGCCGCUGUAA